This 124-nucleotide microRNA precursor is filed under the name Hordeum vulgare. Its description in RNAcentral is "microRNA MIR1122". It matches the Rfam family "MIR1120/MIR1122 microRNA precursor family". Lineage: Eukaryota; Viridiplantae; Streptophyta; Magnoliopsida; Poales; Poaceae. The record is from RNAcentral.
UUAAUACUCCCUCCUUUCAGAAUUAUUUGUCUUAAAAAUGGAUGAAUCUAGAUUUAUUUUAGUUAUAGAUACAUUCAAUAUAUUCAUUUUUAGGACAAGUAUUUCCAGACGGAGGGAGUAGUUU